Rhodamnia argentea is the source of this 426-nucleotide long non-coding RNA. RefSeq lists it as uncharacterized. The record is from RefSeq and is a predicted model, not a curated record. Lineage: Eukaryota; Viridiplantae; Streptophyta; Magnoliopsida; Myrtales; Myrtaceae. The transcript is spliced from 2 exons.
AGAUAAAUCAUAAAUUUGUAAAUAAAAAUAGAAAAAAACAAAAGUGGAUGUCGUAUGUUUUAUUCCACAUGUCAAUAUAUCUAUGUUCUUCUCUAAAAAUAAAAAUAAUGCCAUAAGAACAGUUCUAGGCAACGAUUAAACUAGUUGUGAUUUGGAGAGCCUCUGGGUUGCGAGAUAUCCCCAAAUACAAAGUUCGAAGGGAAACUUACCAAAACACUCCUCCUACAUGAAGAGUGCACAGACAAUUUUGUCUUUAACCAACGAGCUUCGAGCAUUCUGUGCAACAACUUUGCCGUGUUGAGCUCGGGCUGAGCCAUCUGAAGAUAUUGAGGAGCCGUAGCACCUCCGGGAACUUAUCAAUCAAGAGAGAACACUAAUAUUAACAAAAACGUCUUCCAUCAAGACUGUUGAAAAGCACAGGCAACC